GGUAGGAGGCUUUACACUCAGCCUGGGUCAGCACCGGAGCAUCCAGGCACUUCAGCUCGUCUGGGUAGUCAGCUGUGAGGAUCAGGAAGAGAUCAAAGAAAGUAGAAAUGUGGGUGAGGCCAGAGAAGGAGACAAUAAUCUAGGAUGGAACAUUGAAGAGGAACACUGCCUGUGGAGAGGACUCCAAAACGAGGCCAUGACAGAGGCACCUGAAGAAGACCUCUACAUGGGCCUCAGAUAAAGAGACCUAAGAAUGGAGGAUCCUGAGCUGGCAAUAUAAAUAUGCACAAGGGCGUGACCAGCCAGGGGGUCCUUGACUGCAACUCCCUUCAAACACUGCAAUGCAUUGGCUGUGAACCAAGUCUGGGGUGGGCAGAACAGCCUCUCCACACCCUGUAAGCCUGCCAGAAUCCGCCUGUUAAAUUCCUGGUUGGCCUGCUGCUUGCCCCAAGUGGGGCUGCAACCUCAAGCUAGCGAAGCUGUGGAUUUGUCCUGCUCAUUUCCAAGUGUUCAUUCCCAUGUUAAGCCAACAAAGCCAAGGAUUUUCAACCCCCCAGCCACUGCUCUGAAUUGAAUCUGUUUGUAUGGCAGCAAAGCUACUAGUUUUCAUGGUCAGCCCCAUCUUACUUUAAAGUCAUUGGCUGAGCUGGGGGGUGACGGGAGCAGCCACAGGCAGAAAAAGCCACAAUCUCCUACUUGCCUAAAGAUCUAGUAGUUUUUCAAGAAUAAAUGCUGCUCAAUUUUUUGCCUGCAUUUUGUCAAUUUCCAGUUUCCUGAAAUGGUUGGUUUUGAUAAACAAUUUUGUCUAGUUUUAUAUAUUUUUUGGUUGGUUGUUGCUUUUUUUUUUUUUUUUUACAGAAAGAAAUUGCCUGCCUCUUUGUGCUGCCAUAACUGGAAGGCCUUCUCCUCAUUAUUAUUAUUUUUUGAGAUGGAGUUUCGCUCUUGUUGCUCAGGCUGGAGUGCAAUGGUGCAAUCUUGGCUCACUGCAACCUCUGCCUCCCAGAUUCAAGCGAUUCUCCUGCCUCAGCCUUCCAAGUAGCUGGGAUUACAGGCGUGCGCCACCACGCCUGUAAUUUUUUUGUGUUUUUAGUAGAGGCAGGGUUUCACCAUGUUGGUCAGGCUGAUCUCAAACUCCUGACCUCAAGUGAUCCACCUGCCUUGGCCUCCCAAAGUGCUGGGAUUACAGGCGUGAGCCACUGUGCCCAGCCCACUUUCUUUUUAAACCCUCCUUUGAACAUAAAAAAUUUACAUUUUUGUUUAAUGUUUAACACAGGUCCCUUUCAAUAUCAAGCUCGUUAUACUUCAUUUUCCUAGGCAAAGAUGCAGAAAAACCAGCUUUGCAAAUGUAUGUCAAAAUUGCACACUGACUAACCGGCUUCCCUCCUCCCUGCCCUUCCUCAUUUUUCUCAAAAGCAAUACCUGAAAUAAAGGUAGAGUCCUUGUC
Molecule: long non-coding RNA, 1444 nt
Organism: Pan troglodytes (chimpanzee)
Lineage: Eukaryota; Metazoa; Chordata; Mammalia; Primates; Hominidae
Exons: 3
Source: RefSeq, a predicted model, not a curated record